UCGGGAAUAUUGCGCAAUGGAGGAAACUCUGACGCAGUGAUGCCGCGUAUAGGAAGAAGGUUUUCGGAUUGUAAACUAUUGUCGUUAGGGAAGAUACAAGACAGUACCUAAGGAGGAAGCUCCGGCUAACUACGUGCCAGCAGCCGCGGUAAUACGGAGGGUGCAAGCGUUAAUCGGAAUAACUGGGCGUAAAGGGCAUGCAGGCGGUUCAUCAAGUAGGAUGUGAAAUCCCCGGGCUCAACCUGGGAACAGCAUACUAAACUGGUGGACUAGAGUAUUGCAGGGGGAGACGGAAUUCCAGGUGUAGCGGUGGAAUGCGUAGAUAUCUGGAAGAACACCAAAGGCGAAGGCAGUCUCCUGGGCAAAUACUGACGCUCAUAUGCGAAAGCGUGGGUAGCAAACAGGAUUAGAUACCCUGGUAGU
This 423-nucleotide ribosomal RNA is filed under the name uncultured Succinivibrio sp. RNAcentral describes it as "bacterial SSU rRNA". It matches the Rfam family "Bacterial small subunit ribosomal RNA", at positions 355 to 794 of the family's 1533-position model. The record is from RNAcentral. Lineage: Bacteria; Pseudomonadati; Pseudomonadota; Gammaproteobacteria; Aeromonadales; Succinivibrionaceae.